Long non-coding RNA from Microplitis mediator, 553 nucleotides. RefSeq lists it as uncharacterized. The transcript is spliced from 5 exons. The record is from RefSeq and is a predicted model, not a curated record. NCBI's taxonomy places the organism in Eukaryota, Metazoa, Arthropoda, Insecta, Hymenoptera, Braconidae.
AUUGAUCAAAUAUUGAAAUCGCAGUAUACGUCAAACUUAUGAUAGAACAGAGUAUAAACGGCGGAUAUAUUUUAUGCAAUUCAUCAUUAUACGUAUCAGUUGAGUUCGUCAGCACUUCAAUAAUACUCGCAGUUGAUUACCAAUUAUUUCGCCAAAAUGACUUUCAAAUUGAUGGCUCUUGUUUUAUUAUUCGCACUGUUGUUAAUAAUUGGAAUUGUUCAAGUAGCGGAAUGCUGCUCACAUAAAUGUGGUUGUCGUACUGGCGGUUCAAAGCCCUGCCAUUGCAAACCCUGCCAUUGCCACUGACAAGGUAGAGAGUAGCGACGGAAAUAAUAAUGGCGAUGAUCCCGUGAAUAAAAAUCGGGGAUCUGGGUCAGGUGUUUUGGCAAUUUUCAUAACUUUUAUCAUUUCCGCUUGGUCACCGCGUCCGUCAUUCUCUUCCUUUUCGAAACAACUCCAUGCAGAAUUUUACAUAAUUAAAAAUAGGAUUUUACUCGAGUACUGUUUUUUGUAAAAUGAAUCUAACAUCAGCAUGUUCAAUAAAAAUUGCCAA